CUGGUUUGGCAGCACAUAUACUAAACUUGGAACGAUACAGAGGAGAUUAGCAUGGGCCCUGUGCAAGGAGGAUGGGCAAAUUCGUGAAGUAUUAAAAACAAAA
This is a small nuclear RNA of Carcharodon carcharias (great white shark), 103 nucleotides long. Lineage: Eukaryota; Metazoa; Chordata; Chondrichthyes; Lamniformes; Lamnidae. The record is from RefSeq and is a predicted model, not a curated record.